GACGAACGCUGGCGGCGUGCUUAACACAUGCAAGUCGAACGGAAAGUCCCUGCUUUUGUUUGGUUCUCGAUUGGCUAACUUGUGAUUAACACUUGUGUAACCUUCCCUUGACUUUGUUAUAACUUCAUGAAACUUUGUCUAAUACCUUAUCGGUUCUCCUGCUGCAUGGUGGUGUUUGGUACGUUUCGGCGUUUGGGGAUGGACUCGCGGCUUAUCAGCUUGUUGGUGGGGUAGUGGCUUACCAAGGCUUUGACGGGUAGCCGGACUGAGAGGGUUCACGGCGACAUUGGGACUGAGAUACGGCCCAGACUCCUACGGGAGGAAGCAGUGGGGAAUAUUGCAAAAUGGGCGGAAGCCUGAUGAAGAAACGCCGCGUGCGGGAUGACGGCCUUCGGGUUGUAAACCGCUUUCGCAUGUGACGAAGCGUGAGUGACGGUAAUGGGUAAAGAAGCACCGGCUAACUACGUG
RNAcentral lists this ribosomal RNA (468 nucleotides) under uncultured bacterium. Its description in RNAcentral is "partial 16S ribosomal RNA". It matches the Rfam family "Bacterial small subunit ribosomal RNA", at positions 28 to 507 of the family's 1533-position model. The record is from RNAcentral.